RNAcentral lists this ribosomal RNA (252 nucleotides) under uncultured archaeon. RNAcentral describes it as "partial 16S ribosomal RNA". It matches the Rfam family "Archaeal small subunit ribosomal RNA", at positions 253 to 479 of the family's 1478-position model. The record is from RNAcentral.
UCUCCCUAUAAACGGUGAGUCGUCUCCAUUGAGCGUCGACCGUGGAGUCCAGAUUCUUCUGAGAUCCUUUUUUUUUUCUGCGCGUAUUCGCUGCCUGGCAGAUUUGCAGCAGGCGCGAAACCUCCGUAAUGCGAGCAAUCGCGACGGGGGAAACCCAAGUACCACUCUUAACGGGGUGGUUUUUCUGAAGUGUAAAAAGCUUCAGGAAUAAGAGCUGGGCAAGACCGGUGCCAGCCGCCGCGGUAAUACAAU